UGCCGGUGACAAACCGGAGGAAGGNGGGGANGACGUCAAGUCCUCNNGGCCCUUAUGGGUAGGGCUACACACGUCAUACAAUGGCUGGUACAAAGGGNUUGCCAACCCGCGAGGGGGAGCUAAUCCCAUAAAGCCAGUCGUAGUCCGGAUCGUAGUCUGCAACUCGACUGCGUGAAGUCGGAAUCGCUAGUAAUCGUGGAUCAGAAUGUCACGGUGAAUACGUUCCCGGGUCUUGUACACACCGCCCGUCACACCAUGGGAGCGGGUCUCGCCAGAAGUAGUUAGCCUAACCGCAAGGGGGCGAU
This 305-nucleotide ribosomal RNA is filed under the name uncultured bacterium. RNAcentral's name for it is "bacterial SSU rRNA". It matches the Rfam family "Bacterial small subunit ribosomal RNA", at positions 1150 to 1454 of the family's 1533-position model. The record is from RNAcentral.